AGUAAAGUAAGCUAAAUAAGCUCUUGGGCCCAUACCCCGAAUAUGAUGGUUAAAACCUGUCCUUUACUU
RNAcentral lists this transfer RNA (69 nucleotides) under Acanthocepola krusensternii (red-spotted bandfish). RNAcentral's name for it is "tRNA-Met". It matches the Rfam family "tRNA". Rfam says of the family: Transfer RNA (tRNA) molecules are approximately 80 nucleotides in length. The record is from RNAcentral. Lineage: Eukaryota; Metazoa; Chordata; Actinopteri; Priacanthiformes; Cepolidae (in: ray-finned fishes).